UACGUAGGGGGCGAGCGUUGUCCGGAAUUAUUGGGCGUAAAGAGCGUGUAGGCGGUUCGGUAAGUCUGCCGUGAAAACCUGGGGCUCAACCCCGGGCGUGCGGUGGAUACUGCCGGGCUAGAGGGUGGUAGAGGCGAGUGGAAUUCCCGGUGUAGCGGUGAAAUGCGCAGAUAUCGGGAGGAACACCAGUAGCGAAAGCGGCUUCCUGGACCAGUACCGACGUUCAGGCACGAAAGCGUGGGGAGCAAACAGG
RNAcentral lists this ribosomal RNA (253 nucleotides) under uncultured bacterium. Its description in RNAcentral is "partial 16S ribosomal RNA". It matches the Rfam family "Bacterial small subunit ribosomal RNA", at positions 524 to 776 of the family's 1533-position model. The record is from RNAcentral.